This 2269-nucleotide long non-coding RNA is filed under the name Marmota monax (woodchuck). The record is from RNAcentral. Lineage: Eukaryota; Metazoa; Chordata; Mammalia; Rodentia; Sciuridae.
ACUCUUCCAGGUGCCAGUGCCGAAUCGCCCGAACUUUACCCGUGGACCAGAAACCAGACUGCCGUCCAUACUGGGAAAAGGACGAUGCCUCCAUGCCUCUGCCCUUUGACCUCACAGACAUCGUCUCAGAACUCAGAGCUCAGCUUCUGGAAGCAAAGCCCUAGAAGGAGCACAGUCUUAGGUGGAGAAGGAGAAGACAUCCUUGGCUUCUCUCCCGCAACCUUAUCACGGGCGUGGGCAAAGUGUAGGCCUCUCUUGGCCCUCAGGUUGUAGAACCUGAGUCCCAAUUCAAAACAGCUAGGGAAUGGAGCCCGUGAAUAGUAAGAUGUUGAAAAACAACAGUGCCAUAGUCCAAUUUGGUAUUCAACAAGAACUUCCCCCCAAAACCUUGGCCACUUGGGAUUUUUUUCAUAGGAGACUGUUAGCCCCGAAGGGCCAAAGGAGGUAGCCCAACCUGUGACAGAGCCUCACCUCCUUUCCUCCUUCACCAGCCUCCUCAGAGAUGUAGAGUGGGCCCAGUUGUCUGGGGAAAGACAGAACUUAGAGUUGUCCAUCCCAGUUCCUCACCAUGCCCCCUAGAGGUGUACCAUCCAAUAUGGCAGCCUCUCGCUGACUGUGGCAUCUCAAGUUUAAGUUCACUUUUCAUUACAAAUUCAGUUUCUCAGUUGCCCUCACUAUAUCUAGUGCUUCACAGCCACAUGUAGCUAGAGACUAGUGUGUGGGGCAACACAGAUAGGAAUAUUUUCAUCAUUGUAGAAAGUUCUGUUGGAGGAAGCGUUCACGAGCAGGUGUUCCCUUUUCCAAUUCCUUGUAGUUGCUAUUCCCACAGGAGAAUGAGAUUAAAAGAGCAACGACUCUAAAGAGUAGCCCCUUUCCCUUUUCAGAGAAAAAGCUCAGUGAAAUCCUGAGCUGUGAGUCCUGCACACCACGGUCGGGCAUGGGACAGUGUUACCCAUUAAAACAAAGCUGACAUCCCGUCUUUAGGGACUUUCCCUGAUCUGAUGACAGAGACCAGCCCAAUUUACAUUGCAUCAUGAAUUUAGCCAGCAUAGCACAAGUUUUUCUCUAAUUCCCCCAUGUGCAGAUAAUGAGCCUUGAAGAACCCCAGUGCUCCAUCCUAAUGACAUUGACACUACAGACACACCCGGGGGAGCAGAGGUUGAACCCGGCCUCUGGCUUCAGAGUGCCUGAAUUAAGAUCCCCCCACUACCUAUGUGGCCUCUGGCACAUUCUCCUGCCUCAGUUUCCUCAUCUCUAUAACGGGGAUGCCAAAGGUGUCCGAUCCCAAGAUGAAGACUCAGUGACGUGAUCUAGCUGCAGACUUAGAUCAAUUCCUGGCACAUUGUUAAGUUCUAGAUAAACGUGAGUGUCGUUACGUAUCAGUAAGUGGACAUGGAUGUGGAUGUCUUCCGCUCCCUUUCUGAAUCGCUGUGCCAGUUUUUGUCUUGUGAUGCCAUCAUCACUUCUUUCCCUUUCUGGCUUGGCUCCUGCCCUUUGGUGUCCCCAGAAAUCGUGAGGAUAGUUAGCCCUCUCCUCGGCGUGUCACCUCCCCCCAUAGUCUUCACAGUAGUUUAGAAACUGGAGAACUUUGGCCCUGGGGAGGUGCACAGAGCAUAGCCUUCUCCCUUCAGGAUCUGAUGGAAGAAGGCACUCUGUCCCCUGGAGGUGGGAAAGUGAGACCGUCACGCUGAGACUCUCAGACCCUGGACUUAUUCCUUGCUGUCUUUGAGCCUCGGUUUCCUCAUCAGUAAAAGAGAUGAGAAAGGUGUUGACAGGGCCCCAGCCCCCGACCACCUGGCCCCUCUUUAUUUUGCACCCUUGGUGUUUGUCCUUUGUUACAUUUCAUUAGGUGCCAAUACUUUUAAAUUGGGAGAAUUCGUGUAAAAUUCAAAUGUCUGCAUUCUCUUUAAAAUUUGGAGCACCUGCCAGUCCUAAGCCUGCAUCGAAGCAUGGCACCAGGCUAAGUGGCAGCGUCUCCCCACUCUGAAGUGGGCGUGACCCCCUGUGGUUUGCAGUGGACCCUGUUGCUCCCUGUUUUCGUUUACUGUAAACCUGAUCUGCUUCACCCCUCAUGUCCACGCUUUCCAAACCUGCUUGCUCCUACCCCAGUAGUAAGAAUCACUAAUGUUUAGUGCGUACCCCCAAAUUUGUGUAUCCUACCCAACUAUAUUCAUGAACUGCUUGUACUAAUCUGUUGUGUGCACCAUUAAGCAUUCAUAUACAAUAAAGAUAUUAAAAGGAUAAGACACAGAGGCUCCGUGCUUUGCUC